This 301-nucleotide ribosomal RNA is filed under the name uncultured bacterium. RNAcentral's name for it is "partial 16S ribosomal RNA". It matches the Rfam family "Bacterial small subunit ribosomal RNA", at positions 509 to 807 of the family's 1533-position model. The record is from RNAcentral.
CAGUAGCCACGGUAAUACGUAGGUGGCAAGCGUUGUCCGGAAUUAUUGGGCGUAAAGGGCUAGCAGGCGGUUUCUUAAGUCUGAUGUGAAAGCCCCCGGCUCAACCGGGGAGGGUCAUUGGAAACUGGGAAACUUGAGUGCAGAAGAGGAGAGUGGAAUUCCACGUGUAGCGGUGAAAUGCGUAGAGAUGUGGAGGAACACCAGUGGCGAAGGCGACUCUCUGGUCUGUAACUGACGCUGAGGAGCGAAAGCGUGGGGAGCGAACAGGAUUAGAUACCCGCGUAGUCCCUGUCUCUUAUAC